GCUGUGGCUCAGUGGUAGGUAGCACAUUUGCUUUGAAUGCAGAAGAUCCUGAGUUCAAUCCCCAGCAUCUCCA
This is a non-coding RNA of Podarcis lilfordi (Lilford's wall lizard), 73 nucleotides long. The record is from the annotation of a GenBank genome assembly. NCBI's taxonomy places the organism in Eukaryota, Metazoa, Chordata, Lepidosauria, Squamata, Lacertidae.